AACACUUUCUUCAACUAAGCAAGAAGACAUGGUUGAUGUGAAUCUGAAGUCAAGCAGUGGAACCGCAUCACAGUCUCAGGCUCAGUCAGGUGGAUGUGCCUGUUGAUGCGUGGAAAAUUUGGCAUACCAAUUCUCUGAUUUUGUUGCCAUAAGAAUUUUGAACAAUUUUCAUUUAGUUUACUUCCCUUUUUUCUUGCUGCUCUUCCUGUUUGCUGGAGAUUUUGGGAUUAAAAAAAAAAGAAAGUGGCUGAAGCACUAGGAGUAGAAAAAGCUGCGAUUCAUUCUGUGUUUCUUAGGCUGUCCAUAGUUUUUGAUACAGGUGCGGUUUUGGUUUUAGUUUGAGUUUUGCCUAGAAACCGAAAUUGACCAGAAAUUUGGUAUAAUUUCAAUUUGGUCUUCCAAUGAUUCAGUUUCAAUUUGAUUCAUUUCUCG
This 432-nucleotide unclassified non-coding RNA is filed under the name Hevea brasiliensis (rubber tree). Lineage: Eukaryota; Viridiplantae; Streptophyta; Magnoliopsida; Malpighiales; Euphorbiaceae. The record is from RNAcentral.